Molecule: ribosomal RNA, 776 nt
Filed under: uncultured Neocallimastigales
Lineage: Eukaryota; Fungi; Neocallimastigomycota; Neocallimastigomycetes; Neocallimastigales
Description: partial large subunit ribosomal RNA
Rfam family: Eukaryotic large subunit ribosomal RNA
Source: RNAcentral
GUACACGCUGUGACUAGCAUAUCAAUAAGCGGAGGAAAAGAAACUAACAAGGAUUCCCCUAGUAACGGCGAGUGAAGCGGGAAGAGCUCAAAUUUGAAAUCUUAAAGGGUUUCCCUUUACGAAUUGUAGUUUAAAGAAGUGUUUUCUGUUGAGGUUUUGGUAAAAGUUCUUUGGAAUAGGACACCAUAGAGGGUGAGAAUCCCGUAUUUGACCUUUACUUUCAACUUUGUGAUACACUUUCAAAGAGUCGGAUUGUUUGGGAAUGCAGUCCAAAAUGGGUGGUAAAUUUCAUCUAAAGCUAAAUAUUGGCGAGAGACCGAUAGCGAACAAGUACCGUGAGGGAAAGAUGAAAAGAACUUUGAAAAGAGAGUUAAACAGUACGUGAAAUUGUCAAAAGGGAAGCGUUUGACACCAGUGUUGUUUUCUCGAAAAUCAAUUAAAAAAAGUUGGAUUUUGUGUUGUAUUGACCUUAACAGCUUGCUUCACUCUUUUCCUGCUUUUUUUAAUGCACUCUUCGUUUAACAAGUCAACAUCAGUUUCUUCUGUUGUAAAAGGGUCAUUGGAAGGUGGCUUUCUCUUCGGAGAAAGUGUUUAUAGCCUCUUGCUCUAUGCAAUCGGAGAGAUUGAGGUCUGCAGCGUAGAUCCUUCGGGGCUAGAUACAUUUGUGCUAAGUUAUAGCAUUUUAUAGACAACUUGUUGACUAUGAUUUAGUCUUGUGACUUACUCGCUUAUGUUAUUUUACCUACGCUUAGGAUGUUGACAGCAGUAUAGACUGU